UGAGGAAUAUUGGUCAAUGGGCGAGAGCCUGAACCAGCCAAGUCGCGUGAGGGAUGACGGCCCUACGGGUUGUAAACCUCUUUUAUAAGGGAAUAAAGGGCAUCACGUGUGGUGUUUUGCAUGUACCUUAUGAAUAAGCAUCGGCUAACUCCGUGCCAGCAGCCGCGGUAAUACGGAGGAUGCGAGCGUUAUCCGGAUUCAUUGGGUUUAAAGGGUGCGCAGGCGGCGCGAAAAGUCAGCGGUCAAAGUUCCGGGCUCAACCCGGUGACGCCGUUGAAACUUUCGUGCUGGAGUUCGUGCGAGGGAGGCGGAAUGCGUUGUGUAGCGGUGAAAUGCAUAGAUAUGACGCAGAACCCCGAUUGCGAAGGCAGCUUUCCAGCACGCGACUGACGCUGAGGCACGAAAGCGUGGGGGAGCGAACAGGGAUUAGA
This 431-nucleotide ribosomal RNA is filed under the name uncultured Parabacteroides sp. Its description in RNAcentral is "bacterial SSU rRNA". It matches the Rfam family "Bacterial small subunit ribosomal RNA", at positions 355 to 782 of the family's 1533-position model. Lineage: Bacteria; Pseudomonadati; Bacteroidota; Bacteroidia; Bacteroidales; Tannerellaceae. The record is from RNAcentral.